AAGUCAGAUACUUCAAAGAAUAGGGACAUUGUCAUUUCCCUUGUUUAAAAUAAAGUUGCUGUUAAAUACUUGUCUGCUACACUGUACUCUGAUAACAGUCAAGGAUUCUUAGUCUCAUACAU
Molecule: small nucleolar RNA, 122 nt
Filed under: Fukomys damarensis (Damara mole-rat)
Lineage: Eukaryota; Metazoa; Chordata; Mammalia; Rodentia; Bathyergidae
Description: Small nucleolar RNA SNORA63 (ENSFDAG00000020787.1)
Source: RNAcentral